Molecule: ribosomal RNA, 660 nt
Filed under: Pantoea brenneri
Lineage: Bacteria; Pseudomonadati; Pseudomonadota; Gammaproteobacteria; Enterobacterales; Erwiniaceae
Description: bacterial SSU rRNA
Rfam family: Bacterial small subunit ribosomal RNA
Source: RNAcentral
UCGGACGGUAGCACAGAGAGCUUGCUCUUGGGUGACGAGUGGCGGACGGGUGAGUAAUGUCUGGGGAUCUGCCCGAUAGAGGGGGAUAACCACUGGAAACGGUGGCUAAUACCGCAUAACGUCGCAAGACCAAAGAGGGGGACCUUCGGGCCUCUCACUAUCGGAUGAACCCAGAUGGGAUUAGCUAGUAGGCGGGGUAAUGGCCCACCUAGGCGACGAUCCCUAGCUGGUCUGAGAGGAUGACCAGCCACACUGGAACUGAGACACGGUCCAGACUCCUACGGGAGGCAGCAGUGGGGAAUAUUGCACAAUGGGCGCAAGCCUGAUGCAGCCAUGCCGCGUGUAUGAAGAAGGCCUUCGGGUUGUAAAGUACUUUCAGCGGGGAGGAAGGCGAUGAGGUUAAUAACCCUGUCGAUUGACGUUACCCGCAGAAGAAGCACCGGCUAACUCCGUGCCAGCAGCCGCGGUAAUACGGAGGGUGCAAGCGUUAAUCGGAAUUACUGGGCGUAAAGCGCACGCAGGCGGUCUGUUAAGUCAGAUGUGAAAUCCCCGGGCUUAACCUGGGAACUGCAUUUGAAACUGGCAGGCUUGAGUCUUGUAGAGGGGGGUAGAAUUCCAGGUGUAGCGGUGAAAUGCGUAGAGAUCUGGAGGAAUACCGGU